RNAcentral lists this ribosomal RNA (467 nucleotides) under uncultured bacterium. RNAcentral's name for it is "partial 16S ribosomal RNA". It matches the Rfam family "Bacterial small subunit ribosomal RNA", at positions 28 to 506 of the family's 1533-position model. The record is from RNAcentral.
GACGAACGCUGGCGGCGUGCUUAACACAUGCAAGUCGAACGGAAAGGCCCUGCUUUUGUGGGGUGCUCGAGUGGCGAACGGGUGAGUAACACGUGAGUAACCUGCCCUUGACUUUGGGAUAACUUCAGGAAACUGGGGCUAAUACCGGAUAGGAGCUCCUGCUGCAUGGUGGGGGUUGGAAAGUUUCGGCGGUUGGGGAUGGACUCGCGGCUUAUCAGCUUGUUGGUGGGGUAGUGGCUUACCAAGGCUUUGACGGGUAGCCGGCCUGAGAGGGUGACCGGCCACAUUGGGACUGGGAUGCGGCCCAGACUCCUACGGGAGGCAGCAGUGGGGAAUAUUGCACGAGGGGCGGAAGCCGGAUGCAGCAACGCCGCGUGCGGGAGGACGGCCUUCGGGUUGUAAACCGCUUUCGCCUGUGACGAAGCGUGAGUGACGGUAAUGGGUAAAGAAGCACCGGCUAACUACGU